CGUUACCCGGAAGUACUUUUUAUUGUUGCUGAUGAGACGCUGAGUUCGCAAAUCAAAUACCCAAUUGUGGUGCCAACCUGACAGUGAAAAACAAGUUGGAUCCAACAUGCAGUACCUCCAGCAGGCAGAGAGGCAAGAACCAUUCCUCCAACAGCUCAGGGACAAGCUACAAUAUUCACAGUCCUGUUAGGCUGGACAAUAGAGCGAGUCAAAAUUCACCCCAGGCUGAAAAACGGCUUAAGAACGUUGGAUAAGCUGGAACACUAGCGCGAGCUCAUAGCAAAUAAAUGGAAUCGAACGGCCGCAGAUGUUUUGACCGGAGUGACGCUUAGAAUUCCAUUUCGCCAAAAUGGCACAAUUUUUGUUGAUCCCUUUUCAUUUUACCACUACAAUCUGCUCGUCAGACGAAACUGAUAAAAAAGCAACUGGGGUAGAAAGUAAACCUCCGCACCUCGAUGGUGUCAACUGUGCUUAUGGCUGCGUAAUGAGGAAGUACGGAAAAAAUGAAAACUUCUGACUAUUUCUGGUCUAGCGAUCGAUGACAAAUGAGCUCGCUUCCCAGACUGUUCCUCUGCAUAGGCAAACAAUGGGGGGAGCUCAGCUUUCCAAGUGAAAACAAGUAUUUUUGGGCUAGCGUUUGAUGACAGUGGAGCUUGCGGCCCAGACUUAAAUAAUUAAAAGAGGAAAUUCUCCUGAUUAAAAUGGCGUUUGACUUGUGUUAGGGUUUGAUCAACUAUUUGUUUGCAUAACCUAUAUAAUAUAACAAAGAAGCUAUGCUAUAAUAUUAAGUUUAUACUCUAUAUGAUAAGAGCAUACUGCUGUGUGAGAGGAAGGGGCCAUGGGAUGGUGAGUCAUAUGGAAAGAAUGCAGAUGCUGUAAAUCAGGGAUGUGGAAGAGCUUGUUAAAAGAUAUGGGCAGGAUAUGGGUGAAAUGUAUAUGCGGAGGGGUGUCAGGGUUUUAGAGAACUGCAUUGUGCAACAAGAUAAAUCGACUGCCAAAGAUAAUAACUACGCCCGGCAACAGGAGGCGUCUCGAGGUUGGGACCAACCUGCACGCCAACGAUAGGAUGAGUAAGUUUAAACCACGCUCAUCCUCCCUCUGACAGGCCAGCAGUGAGUGGGAACUAUCUCUGUCAGAGUAUUUAAUGAAAAGCAAAGGAUGUGUAACUGAGUUCUCUGUCUGCCCUGCGUGGUGACACAGCGAGCCCGUAUAUACGAACAUCAUAUUUACCAUAAAUGUGUUUGCAUUAAUUAAAGUACAAAGAAAUCAGAAGUUA
Long non-coding RNA from Salmo salar (Atlantic salmon), 1276 nucleotides. RefSeq lists it as uncharacterized. The record is from RefSeq and is a predicted model, not a curated record. NCBI's taxonomy places the organism in Eukaryota, Metazoa, Chordata, Actinopteri, Salmoniformes, Salmonidae.